GGGGCGGUGGCGUAGUUGGGAGCGCGUCAGACUGAAGCUACAACUUCAAUCAACAUUCAUAUGAAUUAUCUGAAGGUCACCGGUUCGAUCCCGGUUCACCCCA
This is a transfer RNA of 103 nucleotides. It matches the Rfam family "tRNA". Rfam says of the family: Transfer RNA (tRNA) molecules are approximately 80 nucleotides in length. Their secondary structure includes four short double-helical elements and three loops (D, anti-codon, and T loops). The record is from Rfam.